RNAcentral lists this ribosomal RNA (1503 nucleotides) under Escherichia coli. RNAcentral describes it as "bacterial LSU rRNA". It matches the Rfam family "Bacterial large subunit ribosomal RNA", at positions 1464 to 2925 of the family's 2925-position model. Lineage: Bacteria; Pseudomonadati; Pseudomonadota; Gammaproteobacteria; Enterobacterales; Enterobacteriaceae. The record is from RNAcentral.
AAGGGGGGACGGAGAAGGCUAUGUUGGCCGGGCGACGGUUGUCCCGGUUUAAGCGUGUAGGCUGGUUUUCCAGGCAAAUCCGGAAAAUCAAGGCUGAGGCGUGAUGACGAGGCACUACGGUGCUGAAGCAACAAAUGCCCUGCUUCCAGGAAAAGCCUCUAAGCAUCAGGUAACAUCAAAUCGUACCCCAAACCGACACAGGUGGUCAGGUAGAGAAUACCAAGGCGCUUGAGAGAACUCGGGUGAAGGAACUAGGCAAAAUGGUGCCGUAACUUCGGGAGAAGGCACGCUGAUAUGUAGGUGAAGUGAUUUACUCAUGGAGCUGAAAUCAGUCGAAGAUACCAGCUGGCUGCAACUGUUUAUUAAAAACACAGCACUGUGCAAACACGAAAGUGGACGUAUACGGUGUGACGCCUGCCCGGUGCCGGAAGGUUAAUUGAUGGGGUUAGCGCAAGCGAAGCUCUUGAUCGAAGCCCCGGUAAACGGCGGCCGUAACUAUAACGGUCCUAAGGUAGCGAAAUUCCUUGUCGGGUAAGUUCCGACCUGCACGAAUGGCGUAAUGAUGGCCAGGCUGUCUCCACCCGAGACUCAGUGAAAUUGAACUCGCUGUGAAGAUGCAGUGUACCCGCGGCAAGACGGAAAGACCCCGUGAACCUUUACUAUAGCUUGACACUGAACAUUGAGCCUUGAUGUGUAGGAUAGGUGGGAGGCUUUGAAGUGUGGACGCCAGUCUGCAUGGAGCCGACCUUGAAAUACCACCCUUUAAUGUUUGAUGUUCUAACGUUGACCCGUAAUCCGGGUUGCGGACAGUGUCUGGUGGGUAGUUUGACUGGGGCGGUCUCCUCCUAAAGAGUAACGGAGGAGCACGAAGGUUGGCUAAUCCUGGUCGGACAUCAGGAGGUUAGUGCAAUGGCAUAAGCCAGCUUGACUGCGAGCGUGACGGCGCGAGCAGGUGCGAAAGCAGGUCAUAGUGAUCCGGUGGUUCUGAAUGGAAGGGCCAUCGCUCAACGGAUAAAAGGUACUCCGGGGAUAACAGGCUGAUACCGCCCAAGAGUUCAUAUCGACGGCGGUGUUUGGCACCUCGAUGUCGGCUCAUCACAUCCUGGGGCUGAAGUAGGUCCCAAGGGUAUGGCUGUUCGCCAUUUAAAGUGGUACGCGAGCUGGGUUUAGAACGUCGUGAGACAGUUCGGUCCCUAUCUGCCGUGGGCGCUGGAGAACUGAGGGGGGCUGCUCCUAGUACGAGAGGACCGGAGUGGACGCAUCACUGGUGUUCGGGUUGUCAUGCCAAUGGCACUGCCCGGUAGCUAAAUGCGGAAGAGAUAAGUGCUGAAAGCAUCUAAGCACGAAACUUGCCCCGAGAUGAGUUCUCCCUGACUCCUUGAGAGUCCUGAAGGAACGUUGAAGACGACGACGUUGAUAGGCCGGGUGUGUAAGCGCAGCGAUGCGUUGAGCUAACCGGUACUAAUGAACCGUGAGGCUUAACCUUACAACGCCGAAGCUGUU